GAUACACAAUAUACAGUUUACAGUAUGAAAUGUUAUAAAAACAUCCUUAAUGUUUUCUUAAACUUUUGGAGAUAGCCAGAAUUAACGGUUAUUUGUUACUAUAAAUCCUUUCAGACUUGAAAUAGGACUAUUAUUCAUAUGAUUUGUUUUUUGAUUUAUCACUUUUUAUUGCAUUUUGAUACAUACAAACAUUUUUUUUAAUGAUUUAGGAGGUGUAUGUUGGUUUUAUAAUAAAAAAUUUC
This 242-nucleotide long non-coding RNA is filed under the name Mytilus galloprovincialis (Mediterranean mussel). Lineage: Eukaryota; Metazoa; Mollusca; Bivalvia; Mytilida; Mytilidae. The record is from RNAcentral.